Molecule: ribosomal RNA, 200 nt
Filed under: uncultured bacterium
Lineage: Bacteria
Description: partial 16S ribosomal RNA
Rfam family: Bacterial small subunit ribosomal RNA
Source: RNAcentral
ACGCUCGACACCUACGGAGGCAGCAGUGGGGAAUAUUGGGCAAUGGGCGCAAGCCUGACCCAGCAACGCCGCGUGAAGGAAGAAGGCCCUCGGGUUGUAAACUUCUUUUGACAGGGACGAAACAAAUGACGGUACCUGUCGAAUAAGCCACGGCUAACUACGUGUCAGCAGCCGCGGUAAUCUGAGCGGGCUGGCAAGGC